GUCGCAUUGUUGUUGGGUCAGGGGACAAGUACAGCUAGUUCGGGUUGAGGAGGGUCAGCUGUUAGGACAUCCAGUCCACCCAAACCUUUAAUCAAUCAUCAAGUGUACAGAAGAAUCAAGACAACCGUAAGAGACGAAGACUGCUUCGUAAUUAGUGGGGACAAGUACAGCUAGUUCGGGUUGAGGAGGGUUAGCUGUUAGGACAUCCAGUCCACCCAAACCUUUAAUCAAUCAUCAAGUGUACAGAAGAAUCAAGACAACCGUAAGAGACGAAGACUGCUUCGUAAUUAGUGGUCCUGGUUGGUUUCUUCGUCGCAGGUUCUUGGUUUGGUCGUCGCAUUGUUGUUGGGUAAGGGGACAAGUACAGCUAGUUCGGGUUGAGGAGGGUCAGCUGUUAGGACAUCCAGUCCACCCAAACCUUUAAUCAAUCAUCAAGUGUACAGAAGAAUCAAGACAACCGUAAGAGACGAAGACUGCUUCGUAAUUAGUGGUUCUACAACAAUGAAGACCCUGAUACUGGUACUAG
Branchiostoma belcheri (Belcher's lancelet) is the source of this 526-nucleotide long non-coding RNA. RefSeq lists it as uncharacterized. The transcript is spliced from 6 exons. The record is from RefSeq and is a predicted model, not a curated record. NCBI's taxonomy places the organism in Eukaryota, Metazoa, Chordata, Leptocardii, Amphioxiformes, Branchiostomatidae.